GACGAACGCUGGCGGCGUGCUUAACACAUGCAAGUCGAACGGAAAGGCCCUGCUUUUGUGGGGUGCUCGAGUGGCGAACGGGUGAGUAACACGUGAGUAACCUGCCCUUGACUUUGGGAUAACUUCAGGAAACUGGGGCUAAUACCGGAUAGGAGCUCCUGCUGCAUGGUGGGGGUUGGAAAGUUUCGGCGGUUGGGGAUGAACUCGCGGCUUAUCAGCUUGUUGGUGUGGUAGUGGCUACCAAGGCUUUGACGGGUAGCCGGCCUGAGAGGGUGACCGGCCACAUUGGGACUGAGAUACGGCCCAGACUCCUACGGGAGGCAGCAGUGGGGAAUAUUGCACAAUGGGCGGAAGCCUGAUGCAGCAACGCCGCGUGCGGGAUGACGGCCUUCGGGUUGUAAACCGCUUUCGCCUGUGACGAAGCGUGAGUGACGGUAAUGGGUAAAGAAGCACCGGCUAACUACGUG
Molecule: ribosomal RNA, 467 nt
Filed under: uncultured bacterium
Lineage: Bacteria
Description: partial 16S ribosomal RNA
Rfam family: Bacterial small subunit ribosomal RNA
Source: RNAcentral